AUUAAAUGAUGAAUAUAUCCCGAACCUGAGUUCAUGUGAAUGAAACUCUUAUACGGAUCUGACUUCUGAUAU
Small nucleolar RNA from Hucho hucho (huchen), 72 nucleotides. The record is from Ensembl. NCBI's taxonomy places the organism in Eukaryota, Metazoa, Chordata, Actinopteri, Salmoniformes, Salmonidae.